This 549-nucleotide ribosomal RNA is filed under the name uncultured bacterium. Its description in RNAcentral is "partial 16S ribosomal RNA". It matches the Rfam family "Bacterial small subunit ribosomal RNA", at positions 355 to 895 of the family's 1533-position model. The record is from RNAcentral.
UGGGGAAUAUUGGACAAUGGGCGCAAGCCUGAUCCAGCAAUGCCGCGUGUGUGAAGAAGGCCUUCGGGUUGUAAAGCACUUUUAUCAGGAGCGAAACGCUGUCGGCUAAUACCCGGCGGAACUGACGGUACCUGAGGAAUAAGCACCGGCUAACUUCGUGCCAGCAGCCGCGGUAAUACGAAGGGUGCAAGCGUUAAUCGGAAUUACUGGGCGUAAAGCGUGCGUAGGCGGUUUCUUAAGUCUGCUGUGAAAUCCCCGGGCUCAACCUGGGAAUGGCAGUGGAUACUGGGAGGCUAGAGUGUGUCAGAGGGUGGUGGAAUUCCCGGUGUAGCGGUGAAAUGCGUAGAGAUCGGGAGGAACAUCAGUGGCGAAGGCGGCCACCUGGGACAACACUGACGCUGAGGCACGAAAGCGUGGGGAGCAAACAGGAUUAGAUACCCUGGUAGUCCACGCCCUAAAGCGAUGCGAACUGGAUGUUGUCUCAACUCGGAGAUCAGUGUCGAAGCUAACGCGUUAAGUUCGCCGCCUGGGGAGUACGGUCGCAAGACU